Molecule: ribosomal RNA, 383 nt
Filed under: uncultured bacterium
Lineage: Bacteria
Description: bacterial SSU rRNA
Rfam family: Bacterial small subunit ribosomal RNA
Source: RNAcentral
GAUGAACGCUAGCGGCAGGCUUAAUACAUGCAAGUCAAGGGGGUAGCAAUACAACCGGCGCACGGGUGAGUAACGCGUACACAACAUACCAUAUACUGGAGUAUAGCUUUGGGAAACUGAAGGUAAUCCUCCAUAACGGAUUGCGAGAGGGCAUCUGAUUGCAAUUAAAGUUUCGGCGGUAUAUGAUUGGUGUGCGUUUGAUUAGCUAGUUGGUAGGGUAACGGCCUACCAAGGCGGCGAUCAAUAGCUGGCGUGAGAGCGCGACCAGCCACACUGGAACUGAGACACGGUCCAGACUCCUACGGGAGGCAGCAGUGGGGAAUUUUGGACAAUGGGGGCGAACCCUGAUCCAGCCAUGCCGCGUGAGUGAAGAAGGCUGUGUA